GACGAACCGUGCGAACGUUAUUCGGAAUCACUGGGCUUAAAGCGCGUGUAGGUGGCUUGACACGUCUGUCGUUGAAAUCCCCCGGCUCAACCGGGGAACGGGCGCGGAUACGGUCAGGCUUGAGGGAUGUAGGGGGAUCGGGAACUUCCGGUGGAGCGGUGAAAUGCGUUGAGAUCGGAAGGAACGCCCGUGGCGAAAGCGCGGUCCUGGACAUUUCCUGACACUGAGACGCGAAAGCUAGGGGAGCAAACGGG
This 254-nucleotide ribosomal RNA is filed under the name uncultured Singulisphaera sp. RNAcentral's name for it is "partial 16S ribosomal RNA". It matches the Rfam family "Bacterial small subunit ribosomal RNA", at positions 524 to 776 of the family's 1533-position model. The record is from RNAcentral. Lineage: Bacteria; Pseudomonadati; Planctomycetota; Planctomycetia; Isosphaerales; Isosphaeraceae.